CCUACGGGAGGCUGCAGUGGGGAAUAUUGGACAAUGGGGGGAACCCUGAUCCAGCCAUGCCGCGUGUGUGAAGAAGGCCCUCGGGUUGUAAAGCACUUUCAGUGAGGAAGAACGCCUGGUGGUUAAUACCCAUCAGGAAAGACAUCACUCACAGAAGAAGCACCGGCUAACUCCGUGCCAGCAGCCGCGGUAAUACGGAGGAUGCGAGCGUUAAUCGGAAUUACUGGGCGUAAAGCGCGCGUAGGUGGCUUGAUAAGCCGGUUGUGAAAGCCCCGGGCUCAACCUGGGAACGGCAUCCGGAACUGUCAAGCUAGAGUGCAGGAGAGGAAGGUAGAAUUCCCGGUGUAGCGGUGAAAUGCGUAGAGAUCGGGAGGAAUACCAGUGGCGAAGGCGGCCUUCUGGACUGACACUGACACUGAGGUGCGAAAGCGUGGGUAGCAAACAGGAUUAGAUACCCUUGUAGUC
RNAcentral lists this ribosomal RNA (465 nucleotides) under Vreelandella stevensii. RNAcentral describes it as "partial 16S ribosomal RNA". It matches the Rfam family "Bacterial small subunit ribosomal RNA", at positions 338 to 795 of the family's 1533-position model. Lineage: Bacteria; Pseudomonadati; Pseudomonadota; Gammaproteobacteria; Oceanospirillales; Halomonadaceae. The record is from RNAcentral.